CUGUGUAUUCACACAUAAUACUCCAAACUCCACUAUCCUUGUUGAUAUCUCUACAUAAGGUGUAGAAAACAGCAGAAACAUUUCACCAUCAGGUAUUGGGGCCUUAAGAACUAAAAGUUUGGGUUAGAACUGUGUUUCCUUGUAUUAAUGAAUUUUGUACACCACUCAGAUGGAAGCUAAUUUAUAACUUUGUCUCUGAACCAGUUCGAGUGGAACAUAGAUUUAAUAUGAAAACAAAUUAUGAAAUUGUGUACUUUCCUCAUAAAAAUAUAUUGGGAUGAAUCCAAGACUUAUCAAAUCUGUCGCAGUUACUGUACAGAGAUUAAUUUGUGCUGUUUGUCUGGAAUCAAGUUUUAACUGGAUUCAGGAAAGAUAAGAUCAUGCAGGUAUAAACUAAUUUGGUCCACUAUUUUGAAAUGUAAAUUUUGUAAGAAUUGAAUGUCUAAAAAUAUCUGGAAUAAUUGAACUCCAUUAAUGUAUUGUUCAAUUAGCUUCCACUUGUGGGAAUAUUGAUACAGCUGACGUGCUAUUUCCUGACAGUCUUUAUUGUUCUUAAAUGAUUUGAACCUGGUUUACUUAUCUGUGCAAGAAGAUUGUAUUUUGAACAAUGGUAAAAGCCAAGUGGUUAGUUUGGUUUUUUUUCAAUAAAUUACUCCCUGACUUCUUUGUCAGACUAUUAGCUUUUGAUGUGUGAGCUCUAUGUCCUCUAACAUAGUCAUAAUAUUCCUUGUCUUCAUCCUAAACACAGAUAUCUGUACAUCAAAAUUCCCAUCCCUACUUCAUAUAAUAUUAACUUGCUAAGAUUAAUCUUUCCAACAAAUUUCUAACAUGUUCCAGGGAUUUUCCUUAAUAAUAACCAUACUCUUUUUUCUCUCCUUCUAACAGUCAGAUGAAUGAUUCAAAAUGUUUUGUCUGAAUGAAGAUGACCAGUCUCCUUAUCUGUCUUCACAGUGUGUAAUACUGAAAGAUGCAAGAAUGUACAAAAUGAUACAGGGGAAGUGAAUGGAAUUAGAAGAUGCAUGCAGAGCCUCAUAGCCCAGAACCAUCCAGUGAAAUGAAGGUGCCCCAAACUGACUCAUUUAUUACCUAUUCGUUUGCUGUGAUGCGAUCUCCAGGAGCAAAAAAAUGCUGCAAUAUAGUAAUGUUUAAACAUGAAGACCUAUUCUGAUCAACUGAGAUUAUUCCUUAAACUGAGAAUCACAGAAUGUAUAUAAAAUCCAACUUGCAUAUGUGAUCACCAACAUUCUAUUUUUUUAAAAAAUUAUUUUGCUAACAAACCAGAUGAAAUUCUUUGAAGCAC
This is a long non-coding RNA of Corapipo altera (White-ruffed manakin), 1300 nucleotides long. RefSeq lists it as uncharacterized. The transcript has 3 exons. The record is from RefSeq and is a predicted model, not a curated record. NCBI's taxonomy places the organism in Eukaryota, Metazoa, Chordata, Aves, Passeriformes, Pipridae.